RNAcentral lists this ribosomal RNA (522 nucleotides) under Triticum aestivum (bread wheat). RNAcentral describes it as "partial small subunit ribosomal RNA". Lineage: Eukaryota; Viridiplantae; Streptophyta; Magnoliopsida; Poales; Poaceae. The record is from RNAcentral.
AUGAUCUUGGCCAACCCCUCUCGCCAAGAGAUCGACAACCUGCUUCUGCUGCUGGAUAACUUCGGGAAGGCCACGGGGCUCCGCAUCAACCUGGGAAAAUCUUUAGUAGCACCGAUUAGCUGCGGCGACAUCGAUCUUCAAGACGUGCUGCAUGGAUUUGGCGGUCCGGUGGUCGGCUUCCCGCUGCGCUACUUAGGCCUCCCCAUUACCAUCUCCCGCGUCCACCUGGUCCAUCUCCCGUUCAUUCUUGAUCGCAUAAGAGCCAGACUGGCGGCUUGGUAAGGACGCCUCCUGUUGAUAGCAGGCCGUAGGGUUCUUGUCCAUUCCGUCCUAACGGCGUUGCCUACCUUCGCUCUUACGAUGCUGCGGGCUCCAAAAAAGAUGCUCAAAGAUAUCGACAAGUGCAAGCGGCGCUUCCUUUGGGUUCACGACGAGGAACUCUCCGGUGGCAAAUGCAAGGUCUACUGGCCCACAGUCUGUUCCCCGACGGACUACGGGGUCCUCGGCGUUCUUGAUCUGUAG